GGAAGUAAAAGUCGUAACAAGGUUUCCGUAGGUGAACCUGCGGAAGGAUCAUUACUGAUUUAGCGAACCGAGCGUUAGCGAGGUUUUGCGAUCAACUUGUAUUUAAAACCCACUCUUCAAUGUAUAAAAUUUGUAUUAAUGAUAAAUUAAAAGAUCACUUUCAACAACGGAUCUCUUGGCUCUCGCAUCGAUGAAGAACGUAGCGAAGUGCGAUAAGUAAUGUGAAUUGCAGUAUUCCGUGAAUCAUCGAACCUUUGAACGCAUAUUGCACUUUCUGGUAUUCCGGAAAGUAUGCCUGUUUGAGGGUCAGUUAAAUAAAAAUCGGUGUUGUUGCCGCUUUCCGUGGUGACGCGUCGGAAUUGAGUCGUCUUCGGUUAAGUGACUUAAAAUUUUAUAUGAUUUUCGAACGUAUUUAAAUUUAUUUGAACGUUUGAUAUCGAAUGCUUAUUAGGUUCGGUCAUCCUCAUGACUCGCGCCAAUAAUUUUUCAUUAAAUGACCUCAAAUCAGGUAAGAAUACCCGCUGAACUUAAGCAUAUCAAUAAGCGGAGGA
RNAcentral lists this ribosomal RNA (551 nucleotides) under uncultured Glomus. Its description in RNAcentral is "eukaryotic LSU rRNA". The stretch from base 156 to 309 matches the Rfam family "5.8S ribosomal RNA". The record is from RNAcentral. Lineage: Eukaryota; Fungi; Glomeromycota; Glomeromycetes; Glomerales; Glomeraceae.